This 1018-nucleotide ribosomal RNA is filed under the name Apis mellifera (honey bee). Its description in RNAcentral is "SSU rRNA". It matches the Rfam family "Eukaryotic small subunit ribosomal RNA", at positions 52 to 998 of the family's 1831-position model. The record is from RNAcentral. Lineage: Eukaryota; Metazoa; Arthropoda; Insecta; Hymenoptera; Apidae.
UGCAUGUCUCAGUACAUGCCGAAUUAAGGUGAAACCGCGAAUGGCUCAUUAAAUCAGUUAUGGUUCAUUAGAUCGUGGACACAUUUACUUGGAUAACUGUGGUAAUUCUAGAGCUAAUACAUGCAAACAGAAUUCCUCUCAGAGAUGGGAGGAAUGCUUUUAUUAGAUCAAAACCAAUCGGUGGCGGACGGCUCGUCCGUUCGUCCAUCGUUUGUUUUGGUGACUCUGAAUAACUUUGUGCUGAUCGCAUGGUCAUCUAGCACCGGCGACGCAUCUUUCAAAUGUCUGCCUUAUCAACUGUCGAUGGUAGGUUCUGCGCCUACCAUGGUUGUAACGGGUAACGGGGAAUCAGGGUUCGAUUCCGGAGAGGGAGCCUGAGAAACAGCUACCACAUCCAAGGAAGGCAGCAGGCGCGCAAAUUACCCACUCCCGGCACGGGGAGGUAGUGACGAAAAAUAACGAUACGGGACUCAUCCGAGGCCCCGUAAUCGGAAUGAGUACACUUUAAAUCCUUUAACGAGGACCAAUUGGAGGGCAAGUCUGGUGCCAGCAGCCGCGGUAAUUCCAGCUCCAAUAGCGUAUAUUAAAGUUGUUGCGGUUAAAAAGCUCGUAGUUGAAUCUGUGUGUCACAGUGUCGGUUCACCGCUCGCGGUGUUUAACUGGCAUUAUGUGGUACGUCCUAUCGGUGGGCUUAGCUCCUUGCGGGCGGUCCAACUAAUAUCCCAUCGCGGUGCUCUUCACUGAGUGUCGAGGUGGGCCGAUACGUUUACUUUGAAAAAAUUAGAGUGCUUAAAGCAGGCUACCUUUGCCUGAAUACUGUGUGCAUGGAAUAAUGGAAUAGGACCUCGGUUCUAUUUUGUUGGUUUUCGGAACCCCGAGGUAAUGAUUAAUAGGGACAGAUGGGGGCAUUCGUAUUGCGACGUUAGAGGUGAAAUUCUUGGAUCGUCGCAAGACGGGACAGAAGCGAAAGCAUUUGCCCAAAAAUGUUUUCAUUAAUCAAGAACGAAAGUUAGAGGUU